Molecule: long non-coding RNA, 448 nt
Organism: Mastomys coucha (southern multimammate mouse)
Lineage: Eukaryota; Metazoa; Chordata; Mammalia; Rodentia; Muridae
Exons: 2
Source: RefSeq, a predicted model, not a curated record
CUCCCUUUGUCUCCAUCACCCCCCCCCAUCCUCACCUCCCCCUCCCCCUCUGCCACAUGGAACUGCGUUGGCCUGGUGUGGUCUGUCUGGAUGUGAGCCAUGAUUCUAACACAACAUUGGUACUGAAACCGGGACCCAGCUGGGUCAUAACCACUUGUAGAGCAUGUGGGCAUACCUGGCAGUGUGCGGUGGAGGGAGCUAAGAAGGUUCAUGGCCAAGAGUUAAGUGUCUGGAAGGAGACUGCCUGACCUUGGUUCUGCACUCACAGACCGGCAGGAAGGUGGCAUCAUCCUGAGGUACCCCAGGGUAGGCUUGGCUAUGUGUGUGAUAAGGGGACUGGACCAGGGCUAGAGCCCUGUGCUCACUGCAAGGUUGUGUGAAAACAGCUGUCAGCUGCUCUCGAGGCUUUGAAGUCCCUGUCCAAUAAAUAAGAGGAGUCGGAGCCAGU